RNAcentral lists this transfer RNA (74 nucleotides) under Rickettsiales bacterium. RNAcentral describes it as "tRNA-Gln". It matches the Rfam family "tRNA". From Rfam's summary of the family: Transfer RNA (tRNA) molecules are approximately 80 nucleotides in length. Their secondary structure includes four short double-helical elements and three loops (D, anti-codon, and T loops). Lineage: Bacteria; Pseudomonadati; Pseudomonadota; Alphaproteobacteria; Rickettsiales. The record is from RNAcentral.
UGGGGUAUCGUCUAAAGGUAGGACAGCAGAUUCUGGAUCUGUUUAUCGUGGUUCGAAUCCAUGUACCCCAGCCA